UACGUAGGGUGCAAGCGUUGUCCGGAAUUAUUGGGCGUAAAGAGCUCGUAGGCGGUCUGUCGCGUCGGACGUGAAAAUCCAGGGCUCAACCCUGGACCUGCGUUCGAUACGGGCAGACUAGAGUUCGGUAGGGGAGACUGGAAUUCCUGGUGUAGCGGUGAAAUGCGUAGAUAUCUGGAGGAACACCGGUGGCGAAGGCGACAUCCUGGACCGGCAUUGACGCUGAGGCGCGAAAGCCAGGGGAGCAAACGGG
Molecule: ribosomal RNA, 253 nt
Filed under: uncultured bacterium
Lineage: Bacteria
Description: partial 16S ribosomal RNA
Rfam family: Bacterial small subunit ribosomal RNA
Source: RNAcentral